This is a long non-coding RNA of Trifolium pratense (red clover), 465 nucleotides long. RefSeq lists it as uncharacterized. The record is from RefSeq and is a predicted model, not a curated record. The transcript has 4 exons. NCBI's taxonomy places the organism in Eukaryota, Viridiplantae, Streptophyta, Magnoliopsida, Fabales, Fabaceae.
GACUCUACUGAACGCGAGGUUGCUCUCAUGAUACUCAGAAUGUGAAGGACGUUCUUUCGUUCAUAAACUCGAAUGCAUUGUUUAUAAAUAACCAAGCUGAAUGAUUUUAUGAAAGAGAUCCAUGCUGCUGGCCAGAAUGGGGAAAUUUCAGGUGAAUUUUGCAGGUUUAAUGUAGGGAUUCAAGACUGGUACAUCGAUGCAAUGUCAAAUACUAUGUUUGCCGGGUUUGUGAAGUUGUUCUGAAGUCAGAGUCCCUAUAUGGGAUGCACACCAGGUUUCUUGUAAGCAUCGUGAGUCACCCCAAACCAGCUUAGAUUAACAGAAUUAUUAUUUUGGUCAGGCAAUAAGUAUCGUUUUGGAGGGAGAUCUAGUCAUUGACAAUGGUUUCUUUUGUAUUAUUUGAUUGAUGUCCGCUAAAGAAAAGACUUGGACCAGAUUCCUCAAACAAGAUGGCUGCACAAAUGA